GAGUUUCUUGAUUUACCACCAAAAACAGCCACCACAGGUUUUAAUUUCGUCUUCGGAACUAGGCAAGGCGCAAUCUUUUCUUGGCGUCGAAGCUCUUUCUCUUCUUUGAGGUACUUUGAGCGUUCCCUCCACUCUCGGUUAGGGUUUUGUGUUUGAAACCCUAGGGAUUUUAGUUGAUUUGAAAAUAUCUGUUUAUAUAUUGUUCUUAUCUAUCUUUAUUUUUCCAAAUGUUGCGUUGUGCUGACGCCUGCAUUGGAUUAUCUGGUCUUGGUGAUCUUACAUUCCGAAUUAUUGUUACUACGAUUUCGAAUUAAGGUUUCGCGUUCAACGCCUCGCUAAUUGUUUUUUCUGAUGUAUUUUAUGAAGGUAAAGGCAUUUUUUUUUCAAGUAUGGCAGAUAGUGAAUCCGUUGUCACUGAAGCAUCUGCUCAUUCCGCUGCUGAGACGUAUGCUUCGGCUGGUUAUGCCGAGUCUGGGUCAAAUCCUGCUCUUGAGGCAGGUACUACUGUU
Molecule: long non-coding RNA, 509 nt
Filed under: Phaseolus vulgaris (common bean)
Lineage: Eukaryota; Viridiplantae; Streptophyta; Magnoliopsida; Fabales; Fabaceae
Description: long non-coding RNA (PVUL_LNC005189)
Source: RNAcentral